AGGCCUAACACAUGCAAGUCGAGCGGCAGCGGGUCCUUCGGGAUGCCGGCGAGCGGCGGACGGGUGAGGAACACGUGGGAAUCUACCUAUUGGUGGGGGAUAACUUGGGGAAACUCAAGGUAAUACCGCAUAAGCCCCAUGGGGGAAAGCAGGGGACCUUCGGGCCUUCGCCGAUAGAUGAGCCCGCGUCGGAUUAGCUAGUUGGUAGGGUAAAGGCCUACCAAGGCGACGAUCCGUAGCUGGUCUGAGAGGAUGAUCAGCCACACUGGGACUGAGACACGGCCCAGACUCCUACGGGAGGCAGCAGUGGGGAAUAUUGGACAAUGGGGGAAACCCUGAUCCAGCCAUGCCGCGUGUGUGAAGAAGGCCUUAGGGUUGUAAAGUACUUUCAGUGGGGAGGAAGGCUUCAGAUUAAUACUCUGGAGUACUUGACGUUACCCACAGAAGAAGCACCGGCUAAUUUCGUGCCAGCAGCCGCGGUAAUACGAAAGGUGCGAGCGUUAAUCGGAAUUACUGGGCGUAAAGCGCGCGUAGGCGGUUUGUUAAGUCUGAUGUGAAAUCCCUGGGCUCAACCUGGGAAUUGCAUCGGAUACUGGCAAGCUAGAAUGCGGUAGAGGGGGGUGGAAUUCCAGGUGUAGCGGUGAAAUGCGUAGAGAUCUGGAGGAACACCAGUGGCGAAGGCGGCCCCUGGACUGACAUUGACGCUGAGGUGCGAAAGCGUGGGGAUCAAACAGGAUUAAAUACCCUGGUUAGUCACGCCGUAACGAUGUCUACUACCGUCGAAACCUUUGUGUUUUGGUGCCCA
RNAcentral lists this ribosomal RNA (805 nucleotides) under uncultured bacterium. RNAcentral's name for it is "bacterial SSU rRNA". It matches the Rfam family "Bacterial small subunit ribosomal RNA", at positions 44 to 850 of the family's 1533-position model. The record is from RNAcentral.